RNAcentral lists this ribosomal RNA (2984 nucleotides) under Halanaerobium congolense. RNAcentral's name for it is "bacterial LSU rRNA". It matches the Rfam family "Bacterial large subunit ribosomal RNA". Lineage: Bacteria; Bacillati; Bacillota; Clostridia; Halanaerobiales; Halanaerobiaceae. The record is from RNAcentral.
AAUUGAUUAAGCUAGAAAGAGCUUAUGGUGGAUGCCUAGGCAUUCAGAGUUGAAGAAGGACGCGACCGGCUGCGAAAAGCCGUGGGGAGCUGCUAAAUAAGCGUAGAUCCGCGGAUAUCCGAAUGGGGCAACCCACCAGUGUGGAGCACUGGUAUUAUGUGGUGAAAGAAGUAGCCAUGUAAGAACAAGCAGGAGAACUGAAACAUCUUAGUACCCUGAGGAAAAGAAAUCAAAACGAGAUUCCCUUAGUAGCGGCGAGCGAAAGGGGAGAAGUCCAAACACAUUAAGUGUAAGUCUGCAGAUGUUGCUUAAUGUGGGUGUAGGAUAUAACGGCUAAAAGCUGCAGUUUUUAGGUGACUUAAAUUUUUUACCCAGUCGAAUGAGCUGGAAAGCUCAACCGUAGGAGGUAAUAGUCCUGUAGACGAAAGGUAGAAGAAGUCACGGAUAUAUCCAGAGUAUCACGAGACACGAGAAACCUUGUGAGAAUAUGGGAGGACCACCUUCCAAGACUAAAUACUCCUGAAUGACCGAUAGUGAACAAGUACCGUGAGGGAAAGGUGAAAAGAACCCCGGGAGGGGAGUGAAAUAGAAACUGAAACCAUAAGCUUACAACAAGUAGGAGGGCUAUUAAAAAGCCUGACUGCGUACUUUUUGUAUCACGGACCGGCGAGUUACUAAUCGUAGCGAAAGGUUAAGUCAUAGAGAUGAAGCCAGAGCGAAAGCGAGUCUGAUAAGGGCGGAAGUUAUGAUUAGUAGACCCGAAACCGAGUGAUCUAUCCAUGACCAGGGUGAAGCGAGUGUAAGAGCUUGUGGAGGCCCGAACCCACUUAUGUUGAAAAAUGAGGGGAUGAGUUGUGGAUAGGGGUGAAAGGCCAAUCGAACUCGGAGAUAGCUGGUUCUCCUCGAAAUAGCUUUAGGGCUAGCCUCGAUGUAAAAGUUAAACGGUUGUAGAGCACUGAUUGGACAAGGGGCCCAACAAGGUUACCAAAUCCAUUCAAACUCCGAAUGCCGUUUAGUGUUCAUCGGGAGUCAGACUAUGUGGGAUAAGCUUCAUAGUCGAAAGGGAAACAGCCCAGACCACCAGAUAAGGUCCCAAAGUAUAUGCUAAGUGGAAAAGGAAGUGAGAUCGCACAGACAACCAGGAUGUUGGCUUAGAAGCAGCCACUCAUUUAAAGAGUGCGUAAUAGCUCACUGGUUAAGCGGUUUUGCGCCGAAAAUGUAACGGGGCUCAAGCAUAUCACCGAAGCUGUGGAUUUAUGAUUGUAUUUAUAUAAUUGUAAGUGGUAGAGGAGCAUUGUGUACGGAGCGAAGCUGUACCGUAAGGAGCAGUGGACUGUACAGAAGAGAGAAUGCCGGUAUGAGUAACGAAAAAAGGAGUGAGAAUCUCCUUCGCCGAAAGUCUAAGGAUUCCUGGGGAAGGCUCGUCCUCCCAGGGUUAGUCGGGACCUAAGCUGAGGCCGAAAGGCGUAGGUGAUGGAAAAUCUGUAAAGAUUCAGAUACCACUGUAAAUUGAUUGAGUGAAGUGGUAACGCGGCAAAGAGAGUGGAGCGUGUGACUGGAAGAGCACGUAUAAGCUAAGGAGUUAGGGUAAGGAGGUAAAUCCCUUUACCCGCUAAUAACUUUUAGUGAUGUGGAGCCAAAAGAGGUGAAGCCACUUAAUAAGCCGCCAAGAAAAACCACUAACGAGAUUUACAGUGCCCGUACCGCAAAACCGACACAGGUAGACGGGAAGAGAAUUCUAAGGCGCGCGAGAGAACCCUUGUUAAGGAACUCGGCAAAAUGACCCCGUAACUUCGGGAGAAGGGGUACCCAUUAGCACUAGCUGGUGGGUCGCAGUGAAAAGAUCCAAGCGACUGUUUAUCAAAAACACAGGUCUCUGCUAAGUCGUAAGACGAAGUAUAGGGGCUGACGCCUGCCCGGUGCUGGAAGGUCAAGGAGAAGGCUUAGUGCUUAUGCACGAAGGUCUGAACCUAAGCCCCAGUAAACGGCGGCCGUAACUAUAACGGUCCUAAGGUAGCGAAAUUCCUUGUCGGGUAAGUUCCGACCUGCACGAAUGGCGUAACGACUUGGAUGCUGUCUCAACAAGGGACUCGGUGAAAUUAAAUUGCCUGUGAAGAUGCAGGCUACCUGCGACAGGACGGAAAGACCCCGUGGAGCUUUACUGCAGCCUGAUAUUGGGUUUUGAUGUAGAAUGUACAGGAUAGGUGGGAGACUUUGAAGCUGGCAUGCUAAUGUCAGUGGAGUCGCUGGUGGGAUACCACCCUUUCUACAGCGGAAUUCUAACUGGAGGCCAUAAACUGGUCACAGGACAUUGUCAGGCGGGCAGUUUGACUGGGGCGGUCGCCUCCCAAACAGUAACGGAGGCGCUCAAAGGUUCCCUCAGUGCGGAUGGAAAUCGCACGAAGAGUGUAAAGGCAGAAGGGAGCUUAACUGCAAGACAGACAAGUCGAGCAGGUACGAAAGUAGGACUUAGUGAUCCGGCGGUAUAGUGUGGAAUUGCCGUCGCUCAACGGAUAAAAGUUACCCCGGGGAUAACAGGCUUAUCUCCCCCAAGAGUUCACAUCGACGGGGAGGUUUGGCACCUCGAUGUCGGCUCAUCGCAUCCUGGAGCUGAAGCAGGUUCCAAGGGUUUGGCUGUUCGCCAAUUAAAGCGGUACGCGAGCUGGGUUCAGAACGUCGUGAGACAGUUCGGUCCCUAUCCGUCGCAGGCGAAAGAUACUUGAGAAGAGCUGUCCCCAGUACGAGAGGACCGGGAUGGACACACCGAUGGUGAAUCAGUUGUUCCACCAGGAGCAUAGCUGAGCAGCUAAGUGUGGAAAAGAUAAGCGCUGAAAGCAUCUAAGCGUGAAACAGACUUCAAGAUUAGGUAUCUCACUUUGUUAAGAAGGUAAGAUCCCUUAAAGAUGAUAAGGUAGAUAGGCCAGAGGUGUAAGUGUAGUAAUACAUUAAGCUAACUGGUACUAAUAGAUCGAGGGCUUAAUCAU